This is a long non-coding RNA of Callorhinchus milii (elephant shark), 604 nucleotides long. RefSeq lists it as uncharacterized. The transcript is spliced from 2 exons. The record is from RefSeq and is a predicted model, not a curated record. NCBI's taxonomy places the organism in Eukaryota, Metazoa, Chordata, Chondrichthyes, Chimaeriformes, Callorhinchidae.
CACAUUUUUGACGUGAUUUCCCAAACAUUCUACAUCAACGUUACUCUACUCGUGGACUGUUAAAAUGACCUGUUUUGUUAAACAGACUCAUCUUGCAACAAAUGACUUUCCUCGCUUCCAGCGGACACCAUUGUAGCAACCAAUGUGGAAACUCGUCAUCAGGGGCGGUUAAUAAACCGUCCAAUGUUGUUAUCCUUAUUAGUGAGUUUAGGAUUUUGGUCACCAUCAAAUUCAAAUGGAGGAGAACAGACUGCAAUAAUUGUCUCAUUACUGAGAUGCCCACAAGGUAAGGUUCCUGUGUCCUUUUCAUGAGUCGUCUGAAUUCCUCUUCUUUUUUUCUUCACCCCCUCCUGCCCUCGCAACUCUUUUUUUCGAUCUUCAGAUGGGAGUGGGUGUAUAAUCUGAUCAAGUGGGGGUAUGUGUGGAGUAUAAACCCCGUGUUCUGAGUGGCCCGUUUCUGUGCUGUAUGUACCUAUAGUGCUAUGAGGAGAAAAUCUGAUCAUGUUCAACAAGAUCAUCGAAAAAAAUGUUUGGAUAAUUAUUUGUAUAUCAACUUGUAUUCUGCUCUGCUGUUACAGAAUAAAAUUUGCUUGUUAAUUCUGAA